Molecule: ribosomal RNA, 254 nt
Filed under: uncultured bacterium
Lineage: Bacteria
Description: partial 16S ribosomal RNA
Rfam family: Bacterial small subunit ribosomal RNA
Source: RNAcentral
UACGGGGGGAGCAAGCGUUGUUCGGAUUUACUGGGCGUAAAGGGCGCGUAGGCGGCCUCUGCAAGCCGCCUGUGAAAUCUCCGGGCUUAACCCGGAACGGUCAGCCGAUACUGCAGGGCUAGAGUGCAGAAGGGGCAACCGGAAUUCUCGGUGUAGCGGUGAAAUGCGUAGAUAUCGAGAGGAACACCUGCGGCGAAGGCGGGUUGCUGGGCUGACACUGACGCUGAGGCGCGAAAGCUAGGGGAGCGAACGGG